CUUUUACCACUAAACUAUACCCG
Molecule: transfer RNA, 23 nt
Filed under: Panzerina lanata var. alaschanica
Lineage: Eukaryota; Viridiplantae; Streptophyta; Magnoliopsida; Lamiales; Lamiaceae
Description: partial tRNA-Gly
Source: RNAcentral